AGGCGGGUCGAUAAGUCAGUGGUGAAAGCCUGCAGCUUAACUGUAGAACUGCCGUUGAUACUGUCGGUCUUGAGUGUAUUUGAGGUAGCUGGAAUGAGUAGUGUAGCGGUGAAAUGCAUAGAUAUUACUCAGAACACCAAUUGCGAAGGCAGGUUACCAAGUUACAACUGACGCUGAUGGACGAAAGCGUGGGGAGCGAACAGGAUUAGAUACCCUGGUAGUCCACGCUGUAAACGAUGCUAACUCGUUUUUGGGGUACUAUACUUCAGAGACCAAGCGAAAGUGAUAAGUUAGCCACCUGGGGAGUACGAACGCAAGUUUGAAACUCAAAGGAAUUGACGGGGGCCCGCACAAGCGGUGGAUUAUGUGGUUUAAUUCGGUGAUACGCGAGGAACCUUACCAAGACUUAAAUGGGAAUUGACAGCUGUAGAAAUACGGUUUUCUUCGGACAAUUUUCAAGGUGCUGCAUGGUUGUCGUCAGCUCGUGCCGUGAGGUGUUAGGUUAAGUCCUGCAACGAGCGCAACCCCUGUCACUAGUUGCCAUCAUUAAGUUGGGGACUCUAGUGAGACUGCCUACGCAAGUAGAGAGGAAGGUGGGGAUGACGUCAAAUCAUCACGGCCCUUACGUCUUGGGCCACACACGUAAUACAAUGGCCGGUACAGAGGGCAGCUACACUGCGAA
This 682-nucleotide ribosomal RNA is filed under the name uncultured Bacteroidota bacterium. RNAcentral's name for it is "bacterial SSU rRNA". It matches the Rfam family "Bacterial small subunit ribosomal RNA", at positions 573 to 1261 of the family's 1533-position model. The record is from RNAcentral. Lineage: Bacteria; Pseudomonadati; Bacteroidota.